UACGGAGGGGGCUAGCGUUGUUCGGAAUUACUGGGCGUAAAGCGUACGUAGGCGGCUUUGUAAGUUAGAGGUGAAAGCCCGGGGCUCAACUCCGGAAUUGCCUUUAAGACUGCAUCGCUUGAAUCAUGGAGAGGUGAGUGGAAUUCCGAGUGUAGAGGUGAAAUUCGUAGAUAUUCGGAAGAACACCGGUGGCGAAGGCGACUCACUGGACAUGUAUCGACGCUGAGGCACGAAAGCGUGGGGAGCAAACAGG
RNAcentral lists this ribosomal RNA (253 nucleotides) under uncultured bacterium. RNAcentral describes it as "partial 16S ribosomal RNA". It matches the Rfam family "Bacterial small subunit ribosomal RNA", at positions 524 to 776 of the family's 1533-position model. The record is from RNAcentral.